This is a small nuclear RNA of Lutra lutra (Eurasian river otter), 110 nucleotides long. The record is from RefSeq and is a predicted model, not a curated record. Lineage: Eukaryota; Metazoa; Chordata; Mammalia; Carnivora; Mustelidae.
GUUCUCUCGCUUUAGCGGCACGUAUACUAAAAUUGGAACAAUACAGAGAAGAUCAGCAUGCCCUCCCUCGCCAGGAUGACAUUCGAACUCAUGAAGCAUUCCAUAUUUUU